UACGUAGGGAGCGAGCGUUGUCCGGAUUUACUGGGUGUAAAGGGCGUGCAGCCGGGCUGGCAAGUCAGAUGUGAAAUCCAGAGGCUUAACCUCUGAACUGCAUUUGAAACUGCUGGUCUUGAGUACCGGAGAGGUUAUCGGAAUUCCUUGUGUAGCGGUGAAAUGCGUAGAUAUAAGGAAGAACACCAGUGGCGAAGGCGGAUAACUGGACGGCAACUGACGGUGAGGCGCGAAAGCGUGGGGAGCAAACAGG
RNAcentral lists this ribosomal RNA (253 nucleotides) under uncultured bacterium. Its description in RNAcentral is "partial 16S ribosomal RNA". It matches the Rfam family "Bacterial small subunit ribosomal RNA", at positions 524 to 776 of the family's 1533-position model. The record is from RNAcentral.